CCUACGGGGGGCUGCAGUGGGGAAUAUUGGACAAUGGGGGGAACCCUGAUCCAGCCAUGCCGCGUGUGUGAAGAAGGCCCUCGGGUUGUAAAGCACUUUCAGUGAGGAAGAACGCCUGGUGGUUAAUACCCAUCAGGAAAGACAUCACUCACAGAAGAAGCACCGGCUAACUCCGUGCCAGCAGCCGCGGUAAUACGGAGGGUGCGAGUGUUAAUCGGAAUUACUGGGCGUAAAGCGCGCGUAGGUGGCUUGAUAAGCCGGUUGUGAAAGCCCCGGGCUCAACCUGGGAACGGCAUCCGGAACUGUCAAGCUAGAGUGCAGGAGAGGAAGGUAGAAGUCCCGGUGUAGCGGUGAAAUGCGUAGAGAUCGGGAGGAAUACCAGUGGCGAAGGCGGCCUUCUGGACUGACACUGACACUGAGGUGCGAAAGCGUGGGUAGCAAACAGGAUUAGAUACCCCAGUAGUC
Molecule: ribosomal RNA, 465 nt
Filed under: Vreelandella stevensii
Lineage: Bacteria; Pseudomonadati; Pseudomonadota; Gammaproteobacteria; Oceanospirillales; Halomonadaceae
Description: partial 16S ribosomal RNA
Rfam family: Bacterial small subunit ribosomal RNA
Source: RNAcentral